GCAGCCGUAGCUUAGCCUGGCUUAAAGCGCCUCCCUGUCACGGAGGAGAUCGCCGGUUCAAAUCCGGUCGGCUGCG
RNAcentral lists this transfer RNA (76 nucleotides) under Candidatus Berkelbacteria bacterium. RNAcentral describes it as "tRNA-Asp". It matches the Rfam family "tRNA". From Rfam's summary of the family: Transfer RNA (tRNA) molecules are approximately 80 nucleotides in length. Their secondary structure includes four short double-helical elements and three loops (D, anti-codon, and T loops). The record is from RNAcentral. Lineage: Bacteria; Candidatus Berkelbacteria.